CGAAGGCACGAAGAUUAUGUUUAGAUGCAAGCGUAAUAAUACAUCACAAUAUCUACUUCAUAUUAAUUGAUACAAGAGAUUGUUCUAUAUUGGUAAUUCAUAUUGUUCGAACUUGUUAAUAAAUACAUAUAUACAGUAAUGAUCGAAUAACAUAUCACGAUUACAAUGAACUUUUACACCAAGAACAAUUACAGGAAACAUUGUUACGAAAUAAAAUAGGCAGAAACAUUUCAUGGAGCUCCUUUCUUUUGUUUCCCUUUCUUUUCCAUAUCUCAUUUUUCUCUUGCGGAUAGUAAUAUUUAGGAGAGAGACCUCAACGUCGUGUUCUUCAAUUAUUUUAGCAGCAGUCUUAAACAUAGAAGAUGUAUCUUCAACUUGGAUUGCCCUUCAGUGAACAGGCUUUAUGAACAUAGAUUCUCUAGAAUGCCAAAGUUCCUAAAUUUAUAUUCAUCUCCAUUUAACAUAGAAAAGAAAGAAAUUAGGCAAAUAAAUUCAUACUCAUAUCUCAAUUCAUAUUUAUUUCAUUUUUGUAAAUUCAUAUCUCAAGUUAACAAAUAAAAGAAGAGAAACAUGAAAAUAACAGAAAUGGAAAGGGAAACGACAA
RNAcentral lists this long non-coding RNA (604 nucleotides) under Olea europaea subsp. europaea. Lineage: Eukaryota; Viridiplantae; Streptophyta; Magnoliopsida; Lamiales; Oleaceae. The record is from RNAcentral.